AGACCCGAAACCCGGUGAUCUAGCCAUGGGCAGGUUGAAGGUUGGGUAACACUAACUGGAGGACCGAACCGACUAAUGUUGAAAAAUUAGCGGAUGACCUGUGGCUGGGGGUGAAAGGCCAAUCAAACCGGGAGAUAGCUGGUUCUCCCCGAAAGCUAUUUAGGUAGCGCCUCGUGAAUUCAUCUCCGGGGGUAGAGCACUGUUUCGGCUAGGGGGCCAUCCCGGCUUACCAACCCGAUGCAAACUGCGAAUACCGGAGAAUGUUAUCACGGGAGACACACGGCGGGUGCUAACGUCCGUCGUGAAGAGGGAAACAACCCAGACCGCCAGCUAAGGUCCCAAAGUCAUGGUUAAGUGGGAAACGAUGUGGGAAGGCCCAGACAGCCAGGAUGUUGGCUUAGAAGCAGCCAUCAUUUAAAGAAAGCGUAAUAGCUCACUGGUCGAGUCGGCCUGCGCGGAAGAUGUAACGGGGCUAAACCAUGCACCGAAGCUGCGGCAGCGAACGUAUCACCCAAGACAACUUUACGGAGUUGACGAUUGACGGAGCGAAGCGACGUCAAAGCGUUCAUUAAAGUCGAGUUGGCUUAGGGAUACGUUCGUUGGGUAGGGGAGCGUUCUGUAAGCCUGUGAAGGUGUGUCGUGAGGCAUGCUGGAGGUAUCAGAAGUGCGAAUGCUGACAUAAGUAACGAUAAAGCGGGUGAAAAGCCCGCUCGCCGGAAGACCAAGGGUUCCUGUCCAACGUUAAUCGGGGCAGGGUGAGUCGACCCCUAAGGCGAGGCCGAAAGGCGUAGUCGAUGGGAAACGGGUUAAUAUUCCCGUACUUGGUGUUACUGCGAAGGGGGGACGGAGAAGGCUAUGUUGGCCGGGCGACGGUUGUCCCGGUUUAAGCGUGUAGGUGUGUGUUCCAGGUAAAUCCGGUUCACUUUAACACUGAGGCGUGACGACGAGGCACUACGGUGCUGAAGCAACAAAUGCCCUGCUUCCAGGAAAAGCCUCUAAGCAUCAGGUAACACGAAAUCGUACCCCAAACCGACACAGGUGGUCAGGUAGAGAAUACCAAGGCGCUUGAGAGAACUCGGGUGAAGGAACUAGGCAAAAUGGUGCCGUAACUUCGGGAGAAGGCACGCUGACACGUAGGUGAAGUGAUUUACUCAUGGAGCUGAAGUCAGUCGAAGAUACCAGCUGGCUGCAACUGUUUAUUAAAAACACAGCACUGUGCAAACACGAAAGUGGACGUAUACGGUGUGACGCCUGCCCGGUGCCGGAAGGUUAAUUGAUGGGGUCAGCGUAAGCGAAGCUC
RNAcentral lists this ribosomal RNA (1300 nucleotides) under Salmonella enterica. RNAcentral's name for it is "partial 23S ribosomal RNA". It matches the Rfam family "Bacterial large subunit ribosomal RNA", at positions 711 to 1907 of the family's 2925-position model. The record is from RNAcentral. Lineage: Bacteria; Pseudomonadati; Pseudomonadota; Gammaproteobacteria; Enterobacterales; Enterobacteriaceae. RNAcentral also lists the same sequence under 1 other name.